CAGUCGACAUUCUCAGCUGACUGUUCUAUUGGCGAUUUCCUGUAUUUGUUUAAUAUCAUUUUCGAAACGAGAUCGACAUUUUCGUUCCACGUCUCGAUAGUGUCUCGGAAUGAAAUGCAUAAAAUUGGGGAUGCAACAGGAAAAAUAUCAGAAUAAACCAGGGCAAGUAAAAGGCGUGAGCCCCGUCAGAUUCCACGUGUGAUGCUUUGUAUUCAGGAAAGGUAAAAGAAAAUGGAGUCAGUUUUUAUUUAUUUUUUUUUUUUAGAUGCCAAAUUGUAUUUUUUCUUUUAAAGGAUUACAUGUUUUAUCGUUUUAUUUACACAUGUCUUUACCAAACUCAUUGCUGUUAGACAAAAUCCUACUUUUAUUUUUAUUUUUUAAAAUCUUUUCUUCUUCUGACUUAGGAAGAUGCCUCGACAACGGUGUUGAUGCCUUGCAUGGUGGCAGUCCAAGCUUGGCGGGCUUCUGGAGUGAAUUCUCCUCCCAAUUUGGCAGCCAAGAAGUCGAUCAAGACCUUGGACAAGUUCUGCAUUUUGGAAUUCAUUGUAAAAUUGAUAAAUUUUUAGUCCAAUCUUUUCUGCUCACUUCAUUUUCAGGGCAUUCAAAAUUUGAAAAGCUUUUACUUACAUCGAAAUGGGCACGGGUUGUUCCACGUCCUUUGUGUUGAUUAGCCAAAUCAACAAGUUGGGCAUUCAAGGCAUCCGGAUUUCCCAUGCAGCCGAUCAAUUCCGACAAUUUGGUCAGCACGUUAACCGACAAGGUCUAAUUGUGAGUUAAUAGUUGUAAAGAUAAUUGAUGAUAUCCAAUUGAAAAUGCUGUGUUGCACAAUAUCAGUAUAUACUUACUUUCAAUGCAGCAUUGUUCAAUAGUUCUCCAGCGGGGACGUUGGCAAUGGUUGGGAACAUGGGCUGAUAUUCCGGAUGGGCAGUCAACAAUCUAUCAAGAAGAUUUUGAUUGCAAUCAAAAUUAAGUACUUAUUGUUUCUAAAUUGCUAUGGUACUCACGCCACAUAGAAAUGAGGAGCAUGAGUAUUCAAGUCUUUGUUGACGAUGGCCCAGGUGUUCUGGACGGCAGAAACGUUGACGGUCUUCAGGGUGUCCAUUUUAUUUAGUUUAUUCUGUUCAAAAUGUAGGAUAUAUAUUUAUAAAUUUUAUAUUACUUUGAUAACACUAAAUUUGAAUUGGAUUUUCAAAUAGGGAAAAUUGAAAAUGUUUUAUCAAAUAAGAAUUGAUUUUUUUUUUUUUAAAUGCCAAACUCACCCUUUGGUUAGUUAGCUGCUGCUGUGAGAAUCUGACUGCUGACUGAUGAUGAGUUGAUGGGUAAGACAACCGGCUUUUAUAGUAGGACUUACUAUAUUUACAACGAGGAGGAGGGACUUCACGUGGAAGACUUUUUGAAAAAAAGGACGCUGUCCUAGUCACGUAGGCACGUGACGGGAAACGGAGCCAAUGACAAAUCGUCUUAAAUAUUUGGCUACGAUUUGGUCAUGCGCCAGUGGCGAAAUAUAUAGGCCCAUUUUAACCUUUCUUUAGAAUUUGCAGAUGAAUGACUUGUCUCUUUUUUCCCCUUCCCCUUCUCCAUAGUAUUGGCAUGGCUUUCAUUUGCCAAAAGAACAGAUAGCGGGGUGAGAACAAAAAAGCUUGGCUGUCAAACCGGAACCCAUUGCGAGCCUACGUGAAGGGUAACACGUAUACCAGAUAACGCAAAAUGAGGUGUAGUGCCCUCCGGCAUAAAGCCGGCAGGAAAUCUCCAGUUGUCUUCGUUCACUCUAUUGAUUCGGUGCAACAAGGUCACUCUUCUUGUUCAAGUGAAAUCAUUUGUGUCUAAUGCUUGCACCAAGUAUAAUUACUUUUAAUGACGAGUUGUUCUCGUCUCUUGACUUUGUACAGAAUUCCUUCUGGGAUUUACUUGUCGAGUAAAUUUGUUCGGCAUAGACAACAGUUUCUGUAUCGAUAGUGUAUUUUUCUCUUUUGUAGACUAGCAAAUGCACGUUGAAUAGCAUUCCAUCACCCAAUACUUUUUAAACCAUUAAAUCGAAAGUUUUUCAUUAGAUUGUCUAUCAAGAAGCUUGACAGAAACAGCCAAAGGCAUUGGCUC
Molecule: long non-coding RNA, 2097 nt
Organism: Daphnia magna
Lineage: Eukaryota; Metazoa; Arthropoda; Branchiopoda; Diplostraca; Daphniidae
Exons: 2
Source: RefSeq, a predicted model, not a curated record